GAUCCUGGCUCAGGAUGAACGCUGGCGGCGUGCUUAACACAUGCAAGUCGAACGGAGUUUACUUAACAGAUUCCUUCGGGAUGACGUUUUUUAAACUUAGUGGCGGACGGGUGAGUAACGCGUGGGUAACCUGCCUUACACAGGGGGAUAGCAGUUGGAAACGACUGGUAAUACCGCAUACCUUACAUUAUUCGCAUGUUUGAUGUAAGAAAGAUUUUAUCGGUGUAAGAUGGACCCGCGUCUGAUUAGCUAGUUGGUGUGG
This 262-nucleotide ribosomal RNA is filed under the name uncultured bacterium. RNAcentral describes it as "partial 16S ribosomal RNA". It matches the Rfam family "Bacterial small subunit ribosomal RNA", at positions 15 to 257 of the family's 1533-position model. The record is from RNAcentral.